UCAGCUCUCAUGUGACCCUUUCUCAAGUCUGGGAGGCCUCUCUGGUUUGCAAACUGUUUACCUGAAUAAAGUUUUUCCUGUUUACAAACCCUGCACUUGGAGCUCCCGUUCUAAUUAGAUUGGUGGCAGUGACCUGUUGUUAGCAGCUCCUCUGUGCUUCAGUUUCAUCAUCUGAAAAACAACAGUACCGACCUCAUGGGGGUGCUUGCAGAGAAGAAAAGAGUCAAUAUUUAUAAAGUACUUAGAACAUUGUCU
Molecule: long non-coding RNA, 255 nt
Organism: Molossus molossus (Pallas's mastiff bat)
Lineage: Eukaryota; Metazoa; Chordata; Mammalia; Chiroptera; Molossidae
Exons: 3
Source: RefSeq, a predicted model, not a curated record